This 253-nucleotide ribosomal RNA is filed under the name uncultured bacterium. RNAcentral describes it as "partial 16S ribosomal RNA". It matches the Rfam family "Bacterial small subunit ribosomal RNA", at positions 524 to 776 of the family's 1533-position model. The record is from RNAcentral.
UACAUGUGGGGCAAGCGUUGUUCGGAAUUACUGGGCAUAAAGGGUGCGUAGGUGGUUUGUUAAGUCAGGGGUGAAAUCCCGCGGCCCAACCGUGGAACUGCCUUUGAUACUGGCGAACUUGAGUGCGUGAGGGGUAGGGGGAACGAGCAGUGUAGCGGUGAAAUGCGUAGAUAUUGCUCGGAAGGCCAGAGCCGAAGGGGCCCUACUGGUGCGCAACUGACACUGAGGCACGAAAGCGUGGGGAGCGAACCGG